GUGCAUCAACAGCCUGCCAUCUACCACCCCCUCAUGAACCUCCAGGGCAAGCUCAGUCAUCUCAGAGGAAGCAAGGUGCCCCAGGUAACACAGACGGCUCACAGCGAGGACCCACAUGAGGUGUUAUUGAGCAAGACAGGAAGGCAGCUUUCUGGAUAAUCGAACGUGCUAGUGAACAGAGUGUUGCCAGAGAUACUCCAGGUGUACACUCAGAUGUAUACGUCAUAUGCUCCCUGAGUGAUUACGUGUUCCAGGCUCUGAGGGUAGGAAAAUGAAGACAACAGUCUCUGUCUCAGGGAAGCUCCAGGUCCACAGGGGAAAAUGGAAGUCAACGCCAAGUGGUACUGCAGAGUGGCAAACAACACAGCACAAAGUGCUCCAGAAACACUCAUCAGGGGUCAGCCAUAUGCUGGAAGGCAGGCAAUGGCCCACUCCACAGGGACCCUCACAAAACACACAAGGCUUGGAUGAUGAAGGGGAGAUGGAAAGGCUUUGUAGUUUUUCAGGGCAAUUGUAAUGAAUGGCAAUUAUCAUGGUAACAUACAGCAAUGUAAAUCUUUAUUAAACUGGAGACAAUGGGAGAGUGGAAGGGAAGGGAGAGGGAGAGGAUUGCAACCACAGAGAGAGAGAGUCAGGCAGGGGGAAGAGACAGACAGAGGAAAAGAAAGAGAGAGAGAGAGACAGAGGCAGAGACAAAGAAAGGAGCAGAGAGAGAAACAAAAGGAGAGAGAGGGAGAGAAAGACACAAAAGAAAAACAAAAAGAGAAGCACACAGAGACCAAAGAAGAAACAAAGACACGAAAACAGGAGGAGAAAUGGAGAGAGUGGGAGAAAAUGCAGAAUAUAAGAGACAGCCCAGGUGGCAGAGGCCCAAAGUUCCUGGGAAAGGCAGUGCUGUUCUAGACCAAACUCUGACCAGGCUGGUGAGUGGGUGGGAGGCCAGUUGGACCUGGGACUAAACACAGGCAGGCCCACUGCACCCCACAGCCACGCUAUGUCACUUCCUCUCCUCCGGGCCCUGCAGACUCCAUGCCAGGGCAGGCUCAUGAGAUAAGGCAGGCUCUGAUGAGCUCCCUGCUAGCUAGUACAUCAAUAAAAAAACAUGACAUUUAA
This 1113-nucleotide long non-coding RNA is filed under the name Homo sapiens (human). RNAcentral describes it as "HSALNT0384577". Lineage: Eukaryota; Metazoa; Chordata; Mammalia; Primates; Hominidae. The record is from RNAcentral.